Molecule: ribosomal RNA, 497 nt
Filed under: uncultured bacterium
Lineage: Bacteria
Description: partial 16S ribosomal RNA
Rfam family: Bacterial small subunit ribosomal RNA
Source: RNAcentral
GAUGAACGCUGGCGUCGUGCCUAAUACAUUCAAGUCGAGCUAACUGACUAGGUGCUUGCUCCUCUUACUUUACUGGCGGACGGGUGAGUAAAACGUGGUUUACCUCCCUUUUAGACUGGGAUAACUUCGGGACACCGGAUCUAAUACCGGCUAAUAUUUUUACCCUCUUGGUUCAAUAUUGAAAGACGGUUUUGCUGUCACUUAUAGAUGGAUCCGCGCCGCAUUAUCUAGUUAGUAAGGUAACGGCUUACCAAGGCGACGAUGCGUAGCCGAACUGAGAGGGUGAUCGGCAACACUGGAACUGAGAAACGGUCCAGACUCAUACGGGAGGCAGCAGUAGGGAAUCUUCCGCAAAGGGCGAAAGACUGACGGAGCAACGCCGCGUGAGUGAUGAAGGUCUUCGGAUCGUAAAACUCUGUUAUUAGGGAAGAACAAAUGUGUAAGUAACUAUGCACGUCUUGAAGGUACCUAAUCAGAAAGCCACGGCUAACUACGUG